AGCAGCCGCGGUAAUUCCAGCUCCAAUAGCGUAUAUUAAAGUUGUUGCAGUUAAAAAGCUCGUAGUUGAAUUUCGGGGUUAGUAGAUUGGUCGUGCCAUUGGUACGUACUGGUCUUACUGAUUCCUCCUUCCUGAUGAACUGUAAUGCCAUUAAUUUGGUGUUGCGGGGAGACUGGACUGUUACUUUGAAAAAAUUAGAGUGUUUAAAGCAAGCUAACGCUUGAAUACAUUAGCAUGGAAUAAUGAAAUAGGACGUUCGAUCCUAUUUUGUUGGUUUCUAGGAUUGACGUAAUGAUUAAUAGGGAUAGUUGGGGGCAUUAGUAUUCAAUUGUCAGAGGUGAAAUUCUUGGAUUUAUUGAAGACUAACUACUGCGAAAGCAUUUGCCAAGGAUGUUUUCAU
Molecule: ribosomal RNA, 400 nt
Filed under: uncultured Glomeromycotina
Lineage: Eukaryota; Fungi; Glomeromycota
Description: SSU rRNA
Rfam family: Eukaryotic small subunit ribosomal RNA
Source: RNAcentral